RNAcentral lists this ribosomal RNA (616 nucleotides) under uncultured bacterium. RNAcentral describes it as "bacterial SSU rRNA". It matches the Rfam family "Bacterial small subunit ribosomal RNA", at positions 338 to 961 of the family's 1533-position model. The record is from RNAcentral.
CCUACGGGAGGCAGCAGUGGGGAAUAUUGGACAAUGGGCGAAAGCCUGAUCCAGCAAUUCCGCGUGUGUGAAGAAGGCCUUCGGGUUGUAAAGCACUUUAGGUUGGGAAGAAAAAGCUUCGGUGAAUAUCCGGAGUGUUGACGGUACCAACAGAAUAAGCACCGGCUAACUCUGUGCCAGCAGCCGCGGUAAUACAGAGGGUGCAAGCGUUAAUCGGAUUUACUGGGCGUAAAGCGUGCGCAGGUGGUUUCGUAAGUCGGAUGUGAAAGCCCCGGGCUCAACCUGGGAACUGCGUUCGAUACUGCGAGACUAGAGUUUGGUAGAGGGUGGCGGAAUUCCCGGUGUAGCGGUGAAAUGCGUAGAUAUCGGGAGGAACAUCAAUGGCGAAGGCAGCCACCUGGGCCUGAACUGACACUGAGGCACGAAAGCGUGGGUAGCAAACAGGAUUAGAUGCCCUGGUAGUCCACGCCGUAAACGAUGAGAACUUGACGUUGGUUCGUUUUACGAAUCGGUGUCGUAGCUAACGCGAUAAGUUCUCCGCCUGGGGAAGUCGGCCGCAAGGUUGAAACUCAAANAGAGUAGAGNGNGAGAGNGCGACGACGACGACGAGGAGAGG